UACGUAGGGUGCAAGCGUUAAUCGGAAUUACUGGGCGUAAAGCGUGCGCAGGCGGUUUUGUAAGUCUGUCGUGAAAUCCCCGGGCUCAACCUGGGAAUUGCGAUGGAGACUGCAAGGCUAGAAUCUGGCAGAGGGGGGUAGAAUUCCACGUGUGAGCAGUGAAAUGCGUAGAGAUGUGGAGGAACACCGAUGGCGAAGGCAGCCCCCUGGGUCAAGAUUGACGCUCAUGCACGAAAGCGUGGGGAGCAAACAGGG
This 255-nucleotide ribosomal RNA is filed under the name uncultured bacterium. Its description in RNAcentral is "partial 16S ribosomal RNA". It matches the Rfam family "Bacterial small subunit ribosomal RNA", at positions 524 to 777 of the family's 1533-position model. The record is from RNAcentral.